GUCCAGCUGUGCCCUGGGAUGGCUGUUCAGGUUGAUGCCUUGGUGGGGUGCUGACAGCAAACCCUUGUUCCUGCAGAGAACUGCCUGCAAGAAGAUACUGCCUAUGUGGAGCCCAUAUCUCUGGAUCACUACUACAAUUGCACCAGGCUCUUCAAACCACCCUGUGGUAGAUCUCCAGGCAAGCCAGAGAAAGACGAGGAUUCCUAUUCCUAUGAAAAUGUCACCAUUGGAGUGUCUCAGGGCUCUGAUCCAGAUGAGGCUGUAG
This 265-nucleotide long non-coding RNA is filed under the name Chloebia gouldiae (Gouldian finch). RNAcentral's name for it is "Erythrura gouldiae (Gouldian finch) lncRNA (ENSEGOG00005014126.1)". Lineage: Eukaryota; Metazoa; Chordata; Aves; Passeriformes; Passeridae. The record is from RNAcentral.